Molecule: long non-coding RNA, 564 nt
Filed under: Bemisia tabaci
Lineage: Eukaryota; Metazoa; Arthropoda; Insecta; Hemiptera; Aleyrodidae
Description: lncRNA ENSSSA1NGG002484
Source: RNAcentral
GAAGUGAUUCUGGACGAAUCUGGAUACGAUUUUUCAGAUUCAGAUGCUGUGGAUCAUGAACCUAUUUACAUAAGAAGUGUUAUUUUAGUACAAGAUGAAAACGUUAAGCAAGAGGUUCAUCCCUUGUCUGAUUUUAAUGAUACGAAUUUUGGGUCUAAUGCAUUUUUAAGCAGUGUUUCAGAUAGUUCUGAAGAAAUUGGCAUAAUCAAAGGGAGUGUCGAGCCCGUUAGGGAGCGUGGAGAUCCCGAUACGUUCAAGAUUUGCAAAUCUGAGGAGAUUGCAAAUCCAGAUUUGCAAAUCCGAGGAGAAACUCAGGAUGGAGAUUUUCACAACAUACAAAUAUUCCCCAAGGAAUUCAUUUUUCUUUUCUCUCCGGGGGAGUUCCUACCGGCCGUUCCGGAAUUCGCAUCACUGACGAGAAACGCAUUUCCAGUCCAUGUCGCCUAAAUAAUACACGUCACGGAUGUUACCCAACCGAGGAGACACCAAUAACUCCACCGUCCAACCGUCUGUGGCAGACCGCAGGCCGGCUCAUCCCUAUUGGUGCCUGUGGGAUUUUGGUCA